RNAcentral lists this ribosomal RNA (465 nucleotides) under Vreelandella stevensii. RNAcentral describes it as "partial 16S ribosomal RNA". It matches the Rfam family "Bacterial small subunit ribosomal RNA", at positions 338 to 795 of the family's 1533-position model. Lineage: Bacteria; Pseudomonadati; Pseudomonadota; Gammaproteobacteria; Oceanospirillales; Halomonadaceae. The record is from RNAcentral.
CCUACGGGUGGCAGCAGUGGGGAAUAUUGGACAAUGGGGGCAACCCUGAUCCAGCCAUGCCGCGUGUGUGAAGAAGGCCCUCGGGUUGUAAAGCACUUUCAGUGAGGAAGAACGCCUGGUGGUUAAUACCCAUCAGGAAAGACAUCACUCACAGAAGAAGCACCGGCUAACUCCGUGCCAGCAGCCGCGGUAAUACGGAGGGUGCGAGCGUUAAUCGGAAUUACUGGGCGUAAAGCGCGCGUAGGUGGCUUGAUAAGCCGGUUGUGAAAGCCCCGGGCUCAACCUGGGAACGGCAUCCGGAACUGUCAAGCUAGAGUGCAGGAGAGGAUGGUAGAAUUCCCGGUGUAGCGGUGAAAUGCGUAGAGAUCGGGAGGAAUACCAGUGGCGAAGGCGGCCUUCUGGACUGACACUGACACUGAGGUGCGAAAGCGUGGGUAGCAAACAGGAUUAGAUACCCGAGUAGUC